RNAcentral lists this long non-coding RNA (42670 nucleotides) under Nicotiana tabacum (common tobacco). RNAcentral's name for it is "long non-coding RNA (NTAB_LNC002405)". The record is from RNAcentral. Lineage: Eukaryota; Viridiplantae; Streptophyta; Magnoliopsida; Solanales; Solanaceae.
GGCUCCACACCUGCGCCCAACACUCCGCAGGUACAUUCACACCAGAACCAAAAAAUCUUCAGCUAUGCAACAUGGAGUGAAAAUAAUUCAAACCUCGUCUGAAGCUCACCCGAGCCCCUCGAGACCCCGUCCAAACAUACCAACAAGUCUCAAAGCAUAAAAUGGACCUACUCGAGGCCUUAAAACAAACAUAACAACAUCGAAACCACGAACCAUAACUCAAUUUGAAAUCAUUGAACUUUGAAACUUCAACUUCCACAACUGAUGUUGAAACCUAUCAAAUCACGUCUGAUUGACCUCAAAUCUUGUACACAAGUCACAUUUGAAAUUACGGACCUGAUCCAACUUCUGAAAUAAAAAUCGGACCCCGGUAUUAAAAGUCCACUCCCGGUCAAACUUUCCAAAAUUCCAACUUUGUCCAUUUCAAGCCAAAUUCCACCACGGACUUCCAAAUCACGAUCUGGACGCUCUCCUAAGUCCAAAAUCACCCAACGGAGCUAAUGGAACCAUCAGAAAUCCAAUCCGAGGUCAAAUAUUAAAUAGUCAAAACUUGGUCAAACCUUUCAAAUUUAAAGCUUCUAGCUGAGGAUCAUUCUUCCAAAUCAAUUCCGAAUAACCUAAAAACGAAAACCGAUGAAUCACACAAGUCUUAUUACAUCAUACGGAGCUACUCAUGCCCUCAAACAACCGAGCGAAAUGCAAUUGCUCAAAACGACCUGUCAGUUCGUUAUAUCCUCCCCACUUAAACAUACGUUCGUCCUCGAACAUGCCUAGAGUUGUUCCAAAACCCACAAAUCGUUGUAUAAUCUUGAUACUCACAUACCCAGGGGUGAUCCCACGUCACCCUAUCCCAUAUAGGUCUGAUAACACAACAUAAUUGAGAUUUCAUAAUCCAACCUAGCCCAUAAGUUUUGAAUCCAAUUUCCCUCAUUCGAAAUUUCUAUAAGAUCAGAAUCUCGCAUCCACACACUGUACAAGUUUGAACAAGCUAUAUCAAGCCAUAGCCAUAACCCAAGAUGAAAUCACAUGAUAUACCACAUAACUCAAACACUCAUAGCAAUAGUUUCUAAUCAUAGUAGCUGCUCAAAACAACCCAAUACCGGUAAUAAACCUCUUAUCAAUAAAGCCUCAUUCUAACACCUUCAUAUACUUCCAAUAAUGAAAUAAACACGCAGAAACGCAUAACCAUUCAUCACGUCAAUAAGUCAUGGAGCUCCCUCUUCUCCGACAGGAACUAUAACAGAUUUCUAAGCCGACUUUCGAUAUUAUCCUUCUAACCAUGUUGUAUUCAAUUCAGAUAGUAUUUAUUCUAGGUCCAAUGACCUCAUCUCAUCCAACAUGGCCAUUCUGGUUACAUGACGCAUCAAUACUAUCCAAAGCCAUAACCUGUGAAAUUCGUGCAUCCAAUAGCAAUAUCCCAAAUGUACUAAAUCAUGAAAAUGAAACAAGAGAACUAUCCCGCCAGCCUAACAAGUACCAUCACGACACCAUGCUAAGAGCCUAGCACACAUCGUAGAACCAAAACAUACGAAUAUGACACCAAGGAUCAUAUCUUAACAUAACUUCACUGCAAUGCGUGACCCCAUCCAAAUGCCGAUCCAUUUUAUUUACCUCGAGUUAGCUUAGUCAAAAUCAAUAACCACACAAAAUUCGACAUCAAGUACCCAAAGUGCAUUACCACAACCACAAAGAGAAAAUAAUACAAUGCCACCAUCUAAAAAGAACAUAGCCAACACUCAAUCAAUCACGCAAUACCCGAAUACUCAUCUUGCUCAAAUUUCCUCUAUAACCCCAAAUAGAACCACACCAUCUGUGCAUAAAACCAAUGAUUCACAACUCCUCGUAACAUAGAAGGGUAACUCACAGAUCAUUUCAGAACACAAAUAAGCUUAAAAACAACUGAAUAGCACAUCCAUCAACAAUAACAACAUGAAGCCAACCAAUCCGACUCGGUGUAUAACACACAUCCAUAUCAGGCUUGCCAAUGAACCCCAAAUCAACUCUCAUCACCCACAAUAGAUAAAUAACCCUCUAAAAGUCCAUAAUGACUGAAUCCCCACACAUACUAUCUUCUGAAAAGCCUUGGUUACAUUUUCAUAGUCCACAACCACGAAGCAAUCUACUCAUGAGAAUUUCCAGCCUCCAAAUCCAUAAAACACACAAAUCACCAUAUCUGGUCUCAACUCUACUGCCUGAAUAUCCAACACUUCUCCAAUACACGAUCAUCCCAUGAGGCAUACCUCUAUAAUUCUUCUGUGCUGCAAAGAAAACUUUGAACACCAGCAGUCGGCCAACUAGGAGAGUACCGCAAUACUAAUGAAGUAUCCAUAAUUCGAAACACAUCGUCCCUUUUAAUAUGUAUACUCUCAUCAAGCCAUACAAAUAGUAAUAUCAUUUACCUAGUCAUCUGAAACUGUCCAUGCUGCCUAAGAUUUAUGAUAUUCCUUUCAUAACUAAACUGUGACCUUACACAUGCAAAUCUCAAUCCUACACAAUAUACCGCAUAUACAAUGCCAUCCUAUGAUAACUAUUAGAACUUCAUAAUCCACUCUGAGUCAUAAACAACUACAUAAUCAACUAGCCAAUAACAUUCCAUUUGAUCCCAUCUAGGAGAAAAUGACUAUAUAUCACAUGCUCCUCACGCUAGUAGAAAAUAUACAUCUCUAACCGUGGUAGAAACCAUCAAGAACUCUGCGAAUUGCAUUUGCACAAAACCAAACCAUCAAGACUGAAUCCUUCUAACUCAACCCAGACUCACCACAGGAUGCCCUAAAAUAAACCACAUCGCCCUAAGGCUCAUAAGUUGCUGAAUACUCUCUUCAAUAUCCCCAAAAAUACCACAUUCAAAAUACUUACAGUGAAGAGACUUUCUAUGAAUCUAAAGCCAUUACCUUCACCUUUUUGAUACUGAUAUGUUGAAUCCAUAAUGAUAUAGUAAUGCCACAAGUAUUGACACCAUCCAAUAUAAACCCAGUUUCUAGCCAAAUACACAUCCUAAAGAUCCCCAAUUGUUACAUAUAAAUAUGGAAUCCAUUAGAAUCAUUCUUAAGAGUCAUCCACUCUACUAAGGUCUCAAUUAAACUGAUCAAAUGAACCGAACGACCUGUGUCCCAUUAGAAACCGAGCGAUUUCCUAUUCCAUACAUGUUACAUCCUUACAAACAACAACUAAAUCAUCCAAUAUUUCUCAUAUGCUUAUAAAACAUAACACAACCCUUAGCAAAAAUUUCCUUUGCUCGAUUCAUCCUCGAUAUCAAUCUCUAUAAGCCAUAACUGAUUCACCAGUAUGCCCCAAACUGAAACCAAUACAACAUAUAACCGUGCAAUAAACUGAUCGAUAGCAGACUCCCCCACUUGGCGCAAAGUCAUAGAUAAAAAACACACAAUAACUCCUAAUGCUCAUACUCUAUUACUGUCAUAAUUUCAUAGUAAGAUUAACUAGAUCCUUCAUAAGCUCAUGCAACACAACCCAUCUAAUACCUCAAAUCAUUUGCAAAUCUCCUAUUCAUCCUCGUAACAGUUAAGCUAACUCUCAUAAGCAAUCCAAACUCAAACUGCAGCACAUAUAAUUCACUGGUAAAAGAGGACUCGCUACAAAACAAUAUAGGGAUCACACACCCUCAAGAUACCCCAUAGGAGAUACCCCACCUACGUCGCCUUAAACUAACAUCUCUUUAUACCAUUCCACCGUCAUAAACAUUACGCAAUCACUUAAUCUUCCUGAGUCUGAACUCAUAUCACGACAUGAAAUUUACUUCACUCCCCAACUAAACAGCAUGAAAAGAUCCUUCAACACACCCAUAACUUAGGGCUAUACAUCAAAUCAAGAUAGAAAUCAAGCACCAAAUAGUUCUUCUUACACCUCAUGUAGACCCUUCUCGUCACAUUCAAAUCAUAUGAACACAUCUCGUAGUCACACCAUACUCAUCACGUAGCCAUCCAGCAAUCAAUUCCACUAAUAGGGACACUAUCACACAUAUAAAUCUAUAAUUACAUGCUUAUAUAAUAAACACCUCAGUGCUCAACCUACAUUCAAAACCCAGCCUAGAGUCCUCCAGACUGGCCCAUUAUCAACACACAGAGAUCAUAUCUCUCACUUCAUCCAGGGAAUCACAAGCCAUCGAUGCACAGCUAAUACCGAGCACUCAUGUGUGCAUACGAAUAUGUGGAAGGAAUUCAAAGGAUUAUGCUUCAAGCUGAAAAAAUGUCGUACGAUAAGGAAGGAAAGAUGGGAAGUAUAUCCUAAAUGUCAUUGUAGCCUAUCGAAGAUAGGUAUGAACGUCAUCAUACCAAUCUAUAAGACUCUACUAGACACUUGCUUAUGACUUGUAGAACCUAUGAACCUAGGGCUCUGAUACCAAUCUAUCACGACCCAAAAUUCACCAGUCGUGAUGACACCUAACUCAACCCGCUAGGUAAGCCAACUAAUAAGUAUCCAAUUCCAAUAAUAUUAAAUAAAUAAUUAAACAUAGGAGUUAUCUAAAUCUUAUAAAAUUCUUAAGGACUGGUAGUACAAAUCAUGAGCUUCUAAGAAUAGAAUUUACAAAGUUAAUAUGAAACAAAUAUAUCUUUUAUUUGAAAAGUACAUAAACAAAGUUUAAUAAUUUUAUGGCUACCAUGAAUAAGAGGCAGCCACAACCGGAACACAGGUACAUCUUCCAAUUUAGCUCAUAUCGGACUCAGCAACAUUGCCAUUCGAAGUCUGCACGCAAUGUGCAGAAAGUGUAGUAUGAGUACAACCGACCCCAUGUACUCAAAAAGUAACAAUCCUAAAGUUAGGUUGAAAGCAAUGAUGAGAUGGAACAUAGGUCGUGUCCAACACUAAUAACCAAUAGCAGCUCAUAAUAAUGUAAAGCAAGUACAUAAAGAAGUAGCUCACAGAUAAAAUGCUCAGCCUUUUGAUAUUUUUCCAAAAAUAGUCCUGCCUUUCAAGAAUAUCAGUAAAAAACCCAAAUUCUUUACCGAAAAUGUUAUGAAAUAUGAGAUAGUUUGUAAACUAUGUUUCUCUUUCAGAAACCCCUUUUGCACAAUAAAUAAGAUGUUCCAUUUUUCUUUCCAGAUAGAAGGUGUGUGAUACCUCUCUAUGACCAUAUAUCAAUGUGUGUAAAAAUGUCAUGAAUGAUGUGACAUUGUACUGCAUGAGGAAAAUGCGUCUCUAUACAUGUAUUCCAUAUAUGCAUGCUAAUGCCAUGUAUCUCAGAGAUGAAUCAUGUACUCAGACUCUCAGAUUACUCAACCUCAUGGCAUCCCACUCAACUACUCCGUACUGUAUAUGACCCAUACGGCCGAGGGAAAUCCAUCCCCGAACAUAUACAACACUAUCUAUAAGUUGCGUAGUACCAAGUGUCACGACCCAAACAGAUGGGCCGCGACAGGCACCCGGUACCUUACUCAACCGAAUACCAACGUAACUUAUCUUUCUUAUUACAUUAUCAUAUACACAUGACAUACGAGCCUAAUAGGCCAACAUGAUUAUUUAUAAACCCAAGACAUCGGCCGACAAGGCUGUACAAUCUUUCAUGUACAUGACAUAUGUCUACAAGCCUCUAAGAAUACAUAAAUAUCAUAAAGGUCGGGACAGAGUCCCGCAAUACCAAACAAUACACGUCUAAAUCAUACCAGCCAAACAAGUAGCUCCGAAGCAAAUGGAGCGCACCAACAUCUUCAGCUGAGCUGAUAGCCUACAUGGAGGGCUAUCGACUAUCUAUCGGGACCUGCGGGCAUGAAAUGCAGUGUCCCCAGGCAAAAGGGACGAUAGUACGAAUAAUUUACCAAGUAUGUAAGGCACAUAAAUAAGUACAUAAGAGACAUGGAAGAAAUAUAGAGUACAUGACUCAACCUGUAAGUCUGAAUAACUUUGAAAAUCAUAAAUUACUUUUAGCGUCAUGCAUAUGCGUAUGACUAUCAUGUCGUGCAUAAGUACAUGUUUCAUAACAUCAUCAGCCUCUAAGGGCAUCCCAUCAUAUCAUAUCGGCCACUAUGGGCAAAAUCAUCAUCGUAUACCAGCUGAUCAGGUGGUGGUGCGUAUAUAACGCCACAGCCUUUCCAAUAUCCCAUAUACAUAUACAUACAUACAUAUAUAUGCGUAUAUAAUGCCGUUUGAGUACAUAUAUAUAUAUGCGUAUAUAACGCCAUUUGCAGCAUAUUUCAGCCAUUGUGGGCAACAUCAUCAUCAUAUACCAGCUGAUCAGGUGGUGGUGCGUAUAUAACGCCUUAACCUUUUCCCAUAUCCCACAUACAUAUAUUUACAUAUAUACGCGUAUAUAACGCCAUCUGGUCAUGGGUCAAUGAACAUGAACUCAAUGCAUGUAAAGUACGUCAAUAAAAUCAUUUGAAAUGUCAUAAGACCAUUUGUCUCUUGAGCAAUAUCAUAAAGUAACAUUUUUUCAACUUUCGUAUUUUUCUGAGACCCAUGAAUAGAUGAUAAAAUGUUAUGACACAUGGAAAUUAAAUAACAUAGAUAUUUCUAUUACUUCUAUGAGUAGAGUCACUUAUGGAAUUUGUGUAUUUGCACGUUUUGUUCAUAUCGUAUGGAUCAUGCCAAAAGAAAGAAGGGACAGGCUUAACAUACCUAGCAACUGUUCUAUGAAUAAGUUUAAAGGCCAGGGCAUUCCCCCCUUUAGGCCUCUUUCCCAUGCCAUGACUUGUGAUCGAGUUCCUUCUAAUCUCGUAACUGCUGCUACCUUCCAUUAUGCAGUUUGUACAACACUGACCUUGUAAGUGUGCCUAUGCGACUCUUUGCUCCUUUUUCCUCUAGCUUUUAGCCAAUCCUGAAGUUCUUCACUUGGUAUUUUAUCGAACUUAUGAAUACUGCUAUAUCUUAUUUUGUAGACCUGGUUAUCUAUUCGUAUGACUUUACUGCAUCUACAUAGGUUAUACUAUACCAUAGCACUUACCUCGAUUUCUCGUUACGGAUGUCUGCUGCCAAAUCUCAGGUAACUUUUAUUGCUUAUCUCGUACGUACAAAUCUAUGUCCUCUAAUGCACCCACAUUACUGUUCAUCUUUAAGAAUGACGACCUAAUCUCCCCUCAUACUUUAUAACUUUUAUCCAUCAGUUGUUGAUUCACCUCAAUAUUCAUUAACAAUAUACCAUUAAUAACUUGCAACCUCUUAUGUAAUCAUUAGGGUUCAUGUUGCAUCACAGAACAUUUAAAUUGAUUUUUCCGAUCCACCUGGGGAUGAUACGAUAUUAUACUUCCAUAACCAUAUUUCAUAGUAUCCCAAUGUGAUUCCCUUACAUGGGUAUUUUAGUCACGUACAAUUAUCGAAAUCCCUUUAUUUAUCACAAUUACACCCUCAUUCUAUUAUCAGGGUAGCAUUUCAUCUCCUCUAAAUGCUACUAGUCAUAGACUCCUUUAUUUUCACAGUCUUAAUCCCGAAGACACAUCCAUUUCCGUCACCUUCUCCCUUGCCUUUUUCUUAUCCUUACUCUUGUAUUUCUACAACUUUGUCUUUCUAUCAUACUUUAGCUUGCGAUCGAUUCCCUUAUGCUUUUCUGGAACAUCAAGCGAGACAUUGCAUCGUCUCUAACUCUUCUUUUACUCUGUAAUUAGACCUUUUGGUACUUAGAAACCGUAGGUUGGAAAAUAUGCUACUGAUGAUGCUGCUAUAAUCCCUGGAUACUGAAUCCCGACGUUUCUAGUCUUUUACCUAAAGUAUGGCCCACUCUCAUUCUCCUACACUUGUUGUCCACCUUUACCUUACUUACUUUAAAAUAUCACCUUACAUUUUUUCUAUCUUUCUUUCACAACCUACUAUCCACAUAGGUAUAAAUCACAUCUACCACUUGAAGCUCUAUUACAAUACUUGCACCGUUGGUGCCUGUACAAUCCGGUGGAAGCUCCAUACUGAUUUCUUAUGAGGAUGGUACUUCUUCUAACUGGAUUUAUCGUAAAGCCGUUAUAGAAUAUAGUUGUUGUUUUAUCUCUCUUGAACCUCUAAUAUUAAGAGUGGCUUUGUUAUGUUCUCAAUUAUGAUUUUUAUAACUUAUGGGUCCAAUAAUCGAAUUCCUGAUUUACUUCGUUGAUGUAAUCCUUUUAGUUUCCUCCUUUUUUGGAUCGGCAUUUAUGUUGGGCUAAGUUACCUCCUGAUCUAUGGUUCAUGGUAUUAGUUAUUCCGUUUAGCCUUUUCAUGGGCGAUGAGUAAUAUACAUGAUACAAUCCUUUCACAAUUUAAUCUUUCGUCUACGACCUGGGUUCAAUUCUUUCUUUUAACAUAUACCAACAUCUUCUAUGGCUAUAUAUGUUGCAUGUAUAAAAGUCCGAACCCUUAAGUGUGUUCAUAACAUAACCCACCCUAGAUCAUUGAUCGAAUAAUUUCUUUCGUUCCAUGUUAGCUUUCUUUCAGCAUAAGCUAUUACUUUUCCUUGUCUUUUUUCCUCCUUGUUGCAUCCAUACUUAUCUUAUCUGAAUGCCACACAUGCCAUAGUUUUCAUACAACUCACAUAAUCUCGAAUAUUACUUUUAAUUUUACUUUCCGUUCAUUAGCUACGGUAGGUGCCACUUUCCUUUGGGGUACUUAUAAUGUUGUUGUGAGACUGUGGUUACAUGACCAUUUCCUCUUUAGGUCGUUGUUCUUAGGUUGAAGCCUUCUUCAUUAAUUCCUUAGCUAGUCUUUCAUUGUAGUACUUAGGGAGAACCCUUGUCUCUCGUAAAGCUAGGAUAUUAUUACUGGCCUUUUAGAUGUCCUCCCUUGCUAUAAUCAUCCGUAGUUGCUUACCUCCAAACCCUUGUGCUUGUAGGGUUGCUUCUGAACUGAAAUUUUGACUGCCUUCCCACUGGCACUUUCUUUUAUCCAUGUAACACUCAUACGAUACAUUUAACUACUCUGACUCAUAUUUGAAUAUACCUCAAGUAUUAUAAUGACAUUACUGCGAGGCUAAAUUUUCCAUGUUGGGGUUUACUACAUUUAUCUUGCAUGAGUUGCUAAUUUGUCUGUAACUUCUUGUAUAGCCAUAGCUAGGCUCUUCCUAAAUCAACUACUAACUACUUAUCCGCCCCGUUCCUGUAUCAAUAUCCCGCGUAAUCUUUCUUGGGUUAUUUUCUUUGUCUUAACUUAGCCCUCGCACUAAUUCCUUAUUAAUCAGUAAUAUCUCGGGCAAGAACCCUUACUUCCUCUCCUUUACAUCNNNNNNNNNNNNNNNNNNNNNNNNNNNNNNNNNNNNNNNNNNNNNNNNNNNNNNNNNNNNNNNNNNNNNNNNNNNNNNNNNNNNNNNNNNNNNNNNNNNNNNNNNNNNNNNNNNNNNNNNNNNNNNNNNNNNNNNNNNNNNNNNNNNNNNNNNNNNNNNNNNNNNNNNNNNNNNNNNNNNNNNNNNNNNNNNNNNNNNNNNNNNNNNNNNNNNNNNNNNNNNNNNNNNNNNNNNNNNNNNNNNNNNNNNNNNNNNNNNNNNNNNNNNNNNNNNNNNNNNNNNNNNNNNNNNNNNNNNNNNNNNNNNNNNNNNNNNNNNNNNNNNNNNNNNNNNNNNNNNNNNNNNNNNNNNNNNNNNNNNNNNNNNNNNNNNNNNNNNNNNNNNNNNNNNNNNNNNNNNNNNNNNNNNNNNNNNNNNNNNNNNNNNNNNNNNNNNNNNNNNNNNNNNNNNNNNNNNNNNNNNNNNNNNNNNNNNNNNNNNNNNNNNNNNNNNNNNNNNNNNNNNNNNNNNNNNNNNNNNNNNNNNNNNNNNNNNNNNNNNNNNNNNNNNNNNNNNNNNNNNNNNNNNNNNNNNNNNNNNNNNNNNNNNNNNNNNNNNNNNNNNNNNNNNNNNNNNNNNNNNNNNNNNNNNNNNNNNNNNNNNNNNNNNNNNNNNNNNNNNNNNNNNNNNNNNNNNNNNNNNNNNNNNNNNNNNNNNNNNNNNNNNNNNNNNNNGUGUUUGCAUAAUACUCUGGUAUCGUAGCAUAUCUGUAGUCUUUGAGUAAGUGCAACCUCAUCCCUUUUUCGUUUUAUCGCAUUCUUCCUUUAUCAUUUCAUAUUCCCCCCUUUAGGGGAGUACUAAGACUUGGAGCUAUGACGGCCUGCCUAUAAAUGUUUUGCCUCUUCAUCUUUGACAUUCUUUCACAUUAUUGAUGACCCUUACUUGCCUUGCGGUAAUCCUUCUGUACCAAGGAUAACAAAAUUCCUUAUUCGCAAGAGUGGCACUUAGUGUAACUAGCACACAUAGUCUCUUAAACUUAUCUUUGCUCAUAUUUCUUGCUCUAAGGAAGCGUUUCCCUGAAUAACUAUUCUCUGAAUUCAUUGUGAAUCUUCUUCUGUGGUCCAUUCUAUUACUGCCGGAACAAAAUCUGAAACUCCUAUGAUGCCGAGUAUUUUCUAAUCAUUCAGUCCUUAAUUCAUAUUUAGUUUACCUUGUUUACCAGUCCAUACCGAUUUCUAUUACUCUAGGAAUUAACUCUCCCCUUUGGUAGUCGCGUUGGAGUCACGAACUUAUUUCUCAAAAUGAGGAUAUAACCUUAUGGCCUAUAUUCUUUUGUUGUCUCAAGGCCCAUCGCCUUUCGUCUCUUCCUUCAUUGACUAUAGGUUCUGUAACAUUCUACCGUUUUCAUCCAUGUAUCACACCUUAUUCAUAAUGUUUCCUUAUCUCUCUCUCAUUAUUCUGCUAAUAUUUCUGCAUAUUCCUUUUCUUGUGAAAACUUCAAUAUGACAUUCUUUCGCUCUUAGCUUUCCUUUGCUCCAUCUAGUGGAUCUUCAAGUUGCUUAACGUUCUCGCUUUACUAGGGACACGAGCAAUACUAAGGUAAUAUUUAUCCCUUCAAGGCUUAUAGUGCAUGUCUUUGAAGUACUCAUAUCUGGCUGCACUAUUUUAAAGUGUACCAUCUGGGUAUCUCACAAGGAGAUCUAUUAGCACAUUUGCCAUAUCCUUCAAAAAUGUCAACUAACACAAACAAUUCAUUCAUCAUAUCUUCUUAUACUAUUUCUAUUAACCCUUAUAGGGCAUAUCUGGAAUGGGUGCGCCAAUUGUAUAUACCUCUAUUACAUUUGAAUAUAACUCAAAAAGCUUAUGUUCCUCUGCUUGAAUUAUAAACACUAUUAACCUUUGUUAAUUGGGCACCUCAUACCCUUCUUCAUCUUGCUUCUUUUACUUGCAGAAACUUGUACUUAUCUUCUUAAUUUCUCAUUGUCCUUCACCAUAAAGAUGGAUAGACAUUCUUACCUUGUGGCUUUUUAUCAAGAAGCUUACACCUUUCAGCACACACAUGAUUUGCUGAAGACCUUAUAUUUACUUAUCAUAAGCAUCAUACAAAGUUGAUCAUCUUUCUGAACGUAGACAUUAUCUUAUUACGAAUAAAAAUACAAGCUCGAGACUUGAAUUCUUAUAGUGAGCUCUACCACACAAUCUAGAGUAAAAAGAAAGAGUGACUGUCUUAAAUGCCCUGUAGCCUCCUGCUUAUAAGUGUGGUGUACAACACACUCAUAAACAAGACUCUACUAGACACGGCUUGUAGACUUCCUAGGACAGAACUGCUCUGAUACCACUUUUGUCACGACCCAAAUCGAUGGGCCGCGAUAGGCACCCAGUACCUUACUCAACCGAGUACCAACGUAAUGUAUCUUUCUUAUUACAUUAUCAUAUACACAUGACAUAUGGGCCUAAUAGGCCAACAUGAUUAUUUAUAAACCCAAGACAUCGACGACAAGGCCGUACAAUCUUUUACGUACAUGACAUAUGUCUACAAGCCUCUAAGAAUACAUAAAUAUCAUAAAGGUCGGGACAAAGUCCCGCCAUACCAAACAAUACACGUCUAAAUCAUACCAGCCAAACAAGCAGCUCCGAAGCAAAUAGAGCGCACCAACAUCUUUCGUUGAGCUGAUAGCCUACGUGGAGGGAUCUCGAUUAUCUAUCGGGACCUGCGGGCAUGAAACGCAGCGUCCCCAGGCAAAAGGGACGUCAGUACGAAUAAUGUACCAAGUAUGUAAGGCACAUAAAUAAGUACAUAAGAAACAUAGAAGAAAUAUAGAGUACAUGACUCAACCUGUAAGUCUGAAUAACUUUGCAAAUCAUAAAUUACUUUUAGCGUUAUGCAUAUGCAUAUGACUGUCAUAUCGUGCAUAGGUACAUGUUUCAUAAUAUCAUCAGCCUCUGAGGGCAUCCAUCAUAUCAUAUCGGCCACUGUGGGCAAAAUCAUCAUCGUAUACCAGCUGAUUAGGUGGUGGUGUGUAUAUAACGCCAUAACCUUUCCCAUAUCCCAUAUACAGAUAUAUACAUACAUAUAUACGCGUAUAUAACGCCGUUUGAGUACAUACAUAUAUAUAUGCGUAUAUAACGCCAUUUGCAGCAUAUUUCAGCCACUGUGAGCAACAUCAUCAUCAUAUACGAGCUGAUCAGGUGGUGGUGCGUAUAUAACGUCGUAACCUUUUCCCAUAUCCCAUAUACAUAUAUUUACAUAUAUACGCGUAUAUAACGCCAUCUGGUCAUGGGUCAAUGCACAUGACCGCAAUGCAUGUAAAGUACGUCAAUAAAAUCAUUCAGAAUGUCAUAAGACCAUUUUGCCUCUUGAGCAAUAUCAUAAAGUAAUAUCUUUUCAACUUUUGUAUUUUUCUAAGACCCAUGAAUAGAUAAUAAAAUAUUAUGACACAUGAAAAUUAAAUAACAUAGAUAUUUCUAUUACUUUUAUGAGUAGAGUCACUUAUGGAAUUUGUGCAUUUGCACGUUUUGUUUAUAUCGUAUGGAUCAUGCCAAAAGAAAGAAGGGAUAGGCUUAACAUACCUGUUCUUGAAAUUAUUUGAACAAAAUGAAGCUUUCUACUUCUUGCGAAAUAUGAACGAACCUAUUCUUGGAUUGAACAAAAUUAGACUGAAAUUUCAAUCGAACAAAAUUAGACUCAACCACUUAUUUAUAAUGGGGAAGAUUAUUAAUCUUUACUCACUUAUUAGUUAACUGGGUAAUGUCCCAUUACCCGAUAAGUAAUCAAUUACCCGCAUAAUUUGAAAAUUGUCUCAACUUAAUUAAAUACUACUCUCUUUUAACAUACCUUGUUCACCUUAUGGUCAUGUAGUACCUUGUGUGGCACUAGUCCAUAAAUACUGGGUAUUUUAGCUUGGGCCAUAUUUUAUCCCAAAAUGCCAAAUUUCAACGAAACUCAUUUUCUUUGACUUGCUUCCCUUUUCAUCUUCACGAAUUUACUUAUCACUCUUUUGAAAUAGCGUAAUACUUAUAAUCCAAAAUAAUCUCAUUCCCGAACUUUGGUCGAUUAACUUAUGAUGAAACUUCAACUUACGAAAAUGCAGGACAUAACAUCUCAUUUUCGAUCUCUCAUUAAUUUAUUUAUGGUAUUUUUCAUGUACGCAAAAUAUGGGGUGUAACACCAAGGAUAAAGGGUAAUCCAACCCUAUGGAGAAAUCCAUCUCGAGGUAUCAAGUAGUUCAGAAAAAUCCAUGCCCAGGGAAAUCCAUCCCUCAAUAAUAUAUAAAUGUCGAACCACCCGGUACCGUAUAUGGCCCAUGAGACCCAGGGAAAUCCAUCCCAGAGCAUACUCAACAAUGACUAAACGUCACUUGGUACCGAGGAAAAAAAGGAAUCUAUCCCUGUAGAGAAAUCCAUCUCCAUAUAUCAAUACUUCAGACAAAUCCAUGUCCAGGAAAAUCCAUCCCUAAAUAAUAUCAUCCGCGGUCAAUGGGGUGUGGUACAAACUCCGGAGGGGCUCCUACAACCUAAGAGCUAUCAUAAUCAUCAAUAUAAUCGCUGCGGCGUGCAGCCCGAUCCCAUAACUGUCACUCCUAAUCAGGCUCUCGGCCUCAUUUAGUCAUCACUCUCCAGUGUCACCCAUAGGAUCAACAUGUCAUGAAAACUGACCCAGAACAAUGAUAUGAUGUAUCUAUAAGUAACAAGGGAGACUGAGAUAUGAUAUGAAUGCAUGAAUGUGACUGAGUUCGAAAUAUCAAUGAAAUCAAUCAGAUGGCAGCAAGAAACGACCAUUAUGGAUCCCAACAAUAUCAGCAUAAAGCCUAAACAUCAUAUCUAGCAUGAUGUACAUCUCAUUUACUUUAUCCCAUGGUGAAAACACAUAUAUCAACAAAAGUAGGGCCACUAUUCAUUAUUGUGGGAACAACAGAUUCACAAUUCACAUGGUGCACACUCAUACGCCCAUCACACAGCAUGUGCGUCACCCCAACACCAAUCACAGAGCACAUAAUUCGGGGUUUAAUACCCUCAGAACUAUGUUUGGAAGAGUUACUUAUAUAAUCAAAAGUGAGUGUAGAACACUUACCCCAAUCCUUGUGAUGAAAAUUGGUCCAAAAAUUGCCUCAAUCUGAGUCCCACAUCUCAAAAUAUUAAGAAAUAAUCAAAACCUCGAUUUUGUAGCUUCUGCCUAGCAGUUUCAGCAUUUGCAGACAAAUAGUCGCAUCUGCGACCAUCGCUUCUGCGGUAAAUUAUUCGCUUCUACGAAAAUAGCCAUUCUGAGCAACCCUCGCACUUACGGUCUUAAUCCGCUUCUGCGACCGCGCUUCUGCGCUCAGGAACCGCAUCUGCAGUUGCGCAUGUGCGUCCAAGCACCCGCACCUACGAUCCUCACACCCAGAUUCCUUUCCUACUUCUGCAAUGACACUGGCAUUUUUGCCGCUCCGCAGGUGCGGUCACACGUGAACCAGAAAAUCUUCAGCUAUGCAACAUAGAGAGAAAAUGAUCGGAACCUCGUCCGAAAUUAAACCGAGCCCCUCUGGACCCAGUCCGAACAUACCACUGAGUCUCAAAACAUAACACGGACCUAUUCGAGGCCUCAAAACAAACAUAACAACAUCCAAAUGAUGAACCAUACCUCAAUUUGAAAUCAUUGAACUUUGAAACUUCAACUUCUACAACUGAUUCCAAAACCUAUCAAAUCCCGUCCGAUUGACCUCAAAUUUGCCACACUAGUCAUAUUUGACAUUACAGACCUGCUUCAACUUCUAGAAUUUAAAUUCGACCCCGAUAUCAAAAUUCCAACCCCGAUCAAACUUUCCAAAAUUCCAACUUUUGCCAUUUCAAGCCAAAUUCCACUACGGACUUCCAAAUCACGAUCCAAAUGUUCUCCCAAGUCCAAAAUCGCCCAAUGGAGCUAACAGAACCAUCUAAAAUCCAAUCCAUGGUCAAAUACUAAAAAGUCAAAACGUUGGUCAAACNNNNNNNNNNNNNNNNNNNNNNNNNCACACAAGUCAUAUUACAUCACACGGAGAUACUCAUGCCCUCAAAUAAUCGAGGGAAGUGUAAUUUCUCAAAACGACCGGUCGGGUCGUUACACUUGAGCAUCAAUUGUAGCUAAUCUGCUGAAGGUAGGUGGCUGGUGCUUCUUGUACCUCUCAAGUCUGAGUUGCUCCGCCUCAGAAGCGGCUGUCCUAGUCUCGUGUUGAACUAGAACUACCGACUGCCUAGGUGUAAUAUCUGGAACCCGGUCGGCCUGAACCCACUGCUCUGUAUUAUCAGCGACGAGAGUCUGUGCUCCUCCCCAGGCCUGAGAUAUGGCUGGAGUAAGUGGAAUCAAUCCAGCCUGAGCUAAGGUGUUGAACCUGCUCAGAAACUCGGCUAGGGUCUCCUGGAGAGUUAUUGCAACCACAGAUGCCUCAUGUGUCUGCCCUCCAACUGGUGCUACUGGGGUCUCCUCUAUAGCAGCUCAUGCGGGUGCUUUGGCUGCACCGCCUGGACGUCUUUGGGCUAUACCCCAUCCCGGGCCUCUCGCGACUCUAGCAAGGGGUGCGGGAUGCAUUGAUCCUCAAACCUUCGCGAACGCGCCCCAUCUUCGCGAAAGCGAAGAACAACUCCCAUUGGGCUCUAAAGUUCCUUACGCGAUCGUGAGACCUCUCUCGCGAACGCGAUGAAGAAAAGUCUGCAACAAAAUACCAGAAAAUCCGCUAUCUUUCACAAGUCCAAAAUGAGUCAUUAAGCAUCCGAAACUCACCCGAGUCCCCUAGGACCUCAACCAAAUGUACCUACCAGUCCUAAAACAAAAUACAAACUUAGUUGAUCCUUUAAAACAACUCAAACAACAACAAAAACAUGAAUCAGCCUCCAAUUCAAACUUAAAGAACUUGAAACUUAAAUUUCCGCAACCGAUGCCUAAACUUAUCAAACCACGUCCGAUUGACUCCAAAUUUUACACACAACUCAUAUUCAACAUCCCGGACAAACUCUAACUUCUAAAAUCAGAAUACGACCCCGAUAUCAAAAAUUUCACUAUCAGUCCAAAUCUAAAAAAAAAUCAACUUUCACCAUUUCAAGCCUAAAUAAGUUAUGAACCUCCAAAACAUGAUCCAGACAUGCCCCUAAGCCCAAAAUACAAAAAGGAGCUAACAAAAUCGACGGAACUCCAUUCCAAAGUCGUCUUCACACAGUUCUGACUACGAUCCAAAUCCUAAGACUUAAGCCUCCGUUUAGGGACUAAGUGUCCCAAAAUACUCCAAAAACCAAAACGAAAUCUCCCGUCAAGUUACAAUAGCAAAAAUAGAUACAGGGGAAACAAUAAAUAGGGGCUCGCGGCUAUAAAUCUCUAAAUAACCGGCCGGGUCGUUACAUUCCAGUAGCUUUGUAUGAUUAUUUUGGACUUAAACGUAUGUCCAGAAUUGAAUUUGGAAGUCUGUAGGUCAAUUCGACGCAUUUUAGCAAAAAUUGAAAAAUGGAAGAUUUUUGAAAAGUUUGACCGAGAGUUAACUUUAUUGAUAUCAGGGUCGAAAAUCAAUUCCAAAAAUUAGAACAACUACAUUAUGUCAUUUAGGUGUCGUGUGAAAAAUUAGGGAUCAUUCCGAAUUGAUUUGAUAGGUUUCGAAAGCGAAUGUAGAAUUUGACAUUCGUUAGUUUUCAUUAAGCUUGAAAUGAGGUGCGAUUCGGGUUUUAUUGUUUUUAAUAUAAUUUGAGGCAUAGUCUAAGUUCGUGUCAUGUUAUGAGACUUGUUAGUAUACUUGUUUGGAGUCCCAUGGGGCUCGAAAGAGUUUGCUGUUUUGAGCAUGUAAUGAUCGAAAGGUCAAUUUUUAGUUCUAGAGAUUGAAAUUCAUUUUGGAGACUUCCGGGAGUUUGCUAAUGAAUUAUAGGAAUGAUCUUGAAUGUUUGGUCUAAUUUCAUCAGGUACGGAUUGGGUUUUUAGGGCAAAACAUGAGUUAAUUAUUUAACGAGCGAAAUUGGUAUCGCAUUGAGCAAUUGAGCUCCAAAUUUAGUUUUGAUUGAGCAAGUAGGUCUGCAUUAUAAUUUGUGACUCACGGGAAUAAGAAUCAACGAAUUCUGAAUUCGUAUGAUAGAGUUAGAGUCUUUUUAGUGAAACAUAAACUGUUGAUGUAAACAGUUCUGGUGCACAUCUUUAGCGACCAGACUUGGCACCUUUAGUGACGAGAUUGGACUUUUAGUGACCAGAAUAAUAUUUUUAUUGGGAAGAAACUUAAGGACCAAAAAUGGUCAUUUCCUUCAUUUCGUAUUGAAUUUUUGGAGCACGGUUCUUGGGCGAUUUUGAGGAUUUCUUCAAGACAUCAACUUAGGCAAGUGUCCUAUAUCCAAAAGUAAUUAUAUUUCAUAAAUUCAUGGUUAUAUUAUCAUUUAAAAUGGAUUUAAAUGGGAGAAAUUGGAAUUUUUGCAAAAUCUUUCAAAAACAAAAAAUUUAGAUUUGGAGGCCGAAUUGUUAUCGGAAUUUGAUAAAAUUGGUAUGGUUGAAAUCAUAUUGGAAUGGGUGUUCAUAUUUCAUGAAACUUCUGUCGGUUUUCGAGAUGCAGACCUCAUGUUGACUUUUGGUUGACUUUUUAAAUGUGAAAUUCUAAGUUGACGUUUUAUUAUCCGGAAUUGUUUUCGAUGAAUUUUAAUGACGUUUUACAAUUAAUUUGGAUAGAGUUGAGCUGUCCGGAGGUCAAUUAAAGAAAGAAGGCGAUUUUGGAAUAUCGGCUUAACUUCAAAAAGGUAAGCAUCUUGCCUAACCUUGAGUGGGGGAAAUAUCCCUUAGGCAAUGAGCCAUAUAUGGAUAUUGUGUGAUUGGAAGCCAUGUACGCAAGGUGGCGAGUACCUACUCGGGCUUAUAUGUACAAAAUUUAUUGGUUUAAAGUCUUAGGAAUUUUUAUGUAUUAAAUUGGAUAAUUGUCACGACCCAGAUUUCCCACCCUCGGGAGUCGUGAUGGCGCCUACUCGUAGAAGCUAGGCAAGCCACUAAAUAUAGAAAUUUCUAACUCUUCCAUUUUAAUCCUUUUUACAAUUUGAAUUAAAAGGUAAUCAACAUUUAAAUAUUAACGUUAAACAGCACAAGUGAAAGACUUAAAAAACAAAAAAAUAACCAAGCCAGUACUACAAUGCCAAUAUACUCCCCUACCCAGAAUCUGGUGUCACAAUUUUCGCGGACUAUCUACGAUUACUACUUACAAAUGUCUGAAAGAAAUAGAAUCUGUCUCAAAAUCUAAUGAAAACAGAGUACAUAAUAAAGUAUAAGAGAACGUCGGGCCUGCGGACGCCUGCAGGACUACCUCGGGAUCUCUGGCUGGACUGAAGGCAGGCUCCCCAAGUGCUACUGUCCAAAAGCUGCUCCGGAAUCUGCACAUAGUGCAGAGUGUAUCAUCAACACAACCGACCCCAUCUGAUGGUAAGUGUCUGGCCUAACCUUGGCGAGGUAGUGACGAGGCUAGGACCAGACUCCAGAUAAAUAUGUGUAGUUAUAUAAUAUACAGGGGAAAAUUAAUAGGAUUAAACAAUUAACGUGGGAAGGGAUGCAUACUACGGGGGAAAUAUCAAAUAUAUCAGAAACAUAAGAGGAAUACGAGGGAACAAUUCAAGAUCUACAACAAAACAAUAAUAAUAUUAUUGCGGCGCGCAACCCGAUCCCUAUCAUUUAACAUUAUUGCAGCGUGCAACUCGAUCCAUAUCAUUUAAUAUUGUUGCGGCAUGCAACCCGAUCCAUUUAUAUCAGUGUUGUGGCGUGCAACCCAAUACAUAUCAUUUAACACUGUUGCGACGUGCAACCCAAUCCAUUUAUAUUGUUGUUGCAGCGUGCAACCCGAUCCAUAUCAUUUAUAUACCUUUAGCAACAACCAUACCUAGAGUCCCGACAAGGGAUCAACAAUAAACUACACUAUCCCGACAAGGGAUUCGACAGUAAAAGUAAUUAAAUACGUCGCGGCAAGGGAGAAACAGCUAUAACCCAUCUUAACCCAACUUCUACUCAUCUUAGCUAACACCAAUACUCAAUCAUAAGUAAUUUCCACGAAGACAAACUUAAUCCUUGCUCAAUAUCGAGAGUCAUCAAUUAAAGCAUCUGUAGUACAAUGUAAGAACAUAAAAUAAAUUGCAAUUUAAGACUCGCUGUCAUGCUCGAAACCAACGUAUAGACACUCGUCACCAUGCCUAUAUGUCGUACUCAACAAGAAGAAAAUAGCAAAUAGGACACAACUCUUAAUACUUCAAGCUAAGGUUAGACCGAACACUUAUCUCGAACUUCCACGACCAACUCAAGCCUCAAACACCACCUUUCCUUUCAAAUUCAGCUCCAAAUAAAUUGUAUCUAGACAUAAUCGACUUAAUAACAUCAAUAAAUGUUAAAAAAUCCAAUUCCAAUGCUUAAUUAUAGCUUUCCCAUCAUUCUUCCCAAAAAAUCAAAAAUUGACCCCAGGCCCGCUUGGUCAAAACACGAGGUUCAGACCAAAAUUCGAUCACCCAUUCACCCACAAGCCCGAAUAUAUAUUUUGAUUUGAAAACCGACCCCAAAAUGAGGUCAAAUUCCCAAAUAAUCAAAAAGUCCUAACUCUACCCAAAUCCCUAUUUUUCUACCCUUAAUCUCAUGUUUUUGGCCUAGAAAUCUAGUGGGUAUUGAUAAAAAUGGAAGAAAACGAGCUUAGGAUUACAUACCUAUGAAGCUUGGUGAAGUUCCUCAUCAAAAAUUGCCCAAGAGGUGUGGAAAAGAUGAAUUUUAUGAAAAAUGGUGGAAUUCCCGUAAUGCAUUCUGUUUUUGGAACUUAAAAUAACUGGGCGAAUUUGGUCUUCGCGUUCGCGACAGGCUCAUCGCGUUCACAAUGAGUUAGGCCUGAGAGACCUGCGCGUUAGCAUAAGUGGGCUCGCGAUCGUGGAGCACUUAAUCCUCGAGCCUUCGUAUUCUCGUCCAGGCGGUCUCGUUCGCGUAGGUAUAAUACCCCUCCCCCUGCCCAGGCUCAUAAGCCAUCGCAUUCGCGUGUGCUUGGUCGCGUUCGCGAAGGGUAUCCCCCUUAGCCUCGCGUUCGCGUCACCAGCUUCGCGUUUGCGAAGUAGAAAUUUGGCACCUGGGAGAUUUGCCUUACACAUUCGCGAGUGUGCCCACGCGAAUACGAAGAGAAAAAUUCCUGGGCAUUGAACAGCAAAAACCUGCAACUUUUGUGAGUUCAAAAACCUUCCGAAACACACCAGAGCCCUCAGGGCUCCAAACUAAACAUACGUACUAACUCAAAAAUAUUAUAUGAACUUAUCUGUGCAAUCAAAUCACUAAAAUAACCCCUUAAACAACGAAUUAAACCUCAAAAUCAAUGAAAUAUUUCAAAACUUCUUAAAACAUCAAAUUUUGCAUUUAAGGUCCGAAUCACGUCAAACGGAUUCCAUUUCUUACCAAACUCACAGAAUUAUCUUAAAUCACAUGUAAGACCUGUACCGGGCACCGGAACCAAAAUACGCGUCCGAUAUCAACAUGUUCUAAUAAAAAUUCAUUUCCCAAUCCUUUAAACAAUUUCAGAAAAAUAAUUUUCUUUAAAAAUUUAUUUCUUGGGCUUGGGACCUUGGAAUUCGAUUCUGGGCAUAUGCUGAAGUCCCAUAUUUUCCUAGGGACCCUACGGGACCUUCAAAUUAUGGGUUCGGGUCCUUUUUCCCAAAACAUUGACUUAACUCAAAUUAAUUCAUUUUAUAGUCAAAAUUUAUUAUUUUUCAAAAGAUUUCACAUAUAAGCUUUCCGACUACGUGUCUGGACUACGCACACAAAUCGUGGUGGCACUAAAAGAGGUUUUUAAAGCCUCAGAACGCAGAAUUUAUUUUAAGGGUCAUCACAAUAAUUGUUGGCAUUUAGUAAAUCCUUGAAUUGUCAUGCCUCAUUCCUUAUCCAUCGAGUCUGUAUUUUUUUUAUGAUAAUUUGGUGUGAUUGUCACUUGGAUUUUUAUGUGAAUUCCAUGUGUUUAUUGAUUUGAUAUAUUCUUGGAACUAAUAUUGAUUAUGGAUUCAUUAUCUGCAAAUAAUUAUUAAAUAAGUUUAAAUUGAGGUGUUAAUAUAUUUAUCUAAAAAAAUGGAUUUAAGAAGGCGUUUUUCCUUGAUGAGUUAAUUUUCAGUUCAUGUUGUUGAAAUUGGUAUUGAGUUAUAAAGGUUGUAAAUCAUAUUGAGGCAAAGUGUUAAAUUGUGAAAUAUUAUUCAGUUGAGUUGUUCACUCUCGAAUAUUUUUAUUAAGAUUUUGUGCACAUUAUGAUCGAUCAAUGAGCUCCUUAUUGGGGAAAUUAAUGUAUUGCUGAUUUUUGUGGCAAGUUAUAACAUUUGAGAAUCUGAUGUGCAAUUUGUGAUAUUGGCAAGUGAUAUUGUUGAGAGGUUUGUGCGGGUGUCUGCACGAGGUUUUGUCGUGCUAUUGUAAUUAUUGAUAUAUGCAUAUGCGGUGUGACAAGGUAGGAUAUAUAUGUGUGGGUUUGAGCAUGUGGCGAGACAAGGUGGGAAUACUAUUAUGCGCGUGUGGCGAGACAAUGCAGGCAUUUACUUUAUUAUUGUGCACGUGGCGAGACAAGGUGGAUUAUGUCGGAGAUUGAUUUGUGAUGACUUCUGAUGGCAUGGGAGCUUUUUUGUUGAAAUUUAUUUAUGAUUUGGAACUACGACGCGGUACUUCAGGAGUGCCCUUUUGUUGAUAUUUCUCUAUGGCUGCACUUGCCUUUGGUUAUUUUGUUUCUCCGUAAUAUGUAAAUUCAUGUGUUCUCUGUGAUGUAUUAUUUGACUUAAUAUUAAGUGUUUUGUAUUUCGUGUAGUAUUAUUCCAGCUUGAGCUUUUUCUUAUGAGACUCUGAGCAUUUGUAUUUAUGGUUUGUACUUAUUCUUAAUGAUUGAGUAGUUUUGAAUACACGAACUACUAUUAUGUUUUAAUUUAAUAAUUUUUAUAUCCAAAUCAAUAGCUUAUUUUAUGCUUUAUUUUAAUUGAAAUGUUAUUUUUCUUCACUCAAACUAUUUCAAAAUAAAUUUAUUUCUGUCACGAUCCAAUUUCACUUAUCAUUACCGCUAGGUAAGCCAACUAGUGGGUUCAACAUAUAUUUCCUCUUUUAAUAAAUUUUCGAAUAAUUAAACUUUCAUUACUUGCAAGAUUUAAGAAAAAUAGAAAUUCUAAAUAAAUAUAAAAACUCAAAUAAUAAUUUCAAUCCAUAAUUCUACUAAAGUAUGUGCCAAGAUCCAAUGUCACAAGUGUAUGAACAUAUAGUAAAUUAUACAAAAUUAUAAAUACCAUAUGAACAUAAAAUACAUAGAAUACAAAUACAAAGAGAGACACUAAGUGCUGCGGAAUGGCUCAGAAAAGGAAGCUCACAACUAGGCCUCGGAUAAUGGGGAUGCGUACCGGUAGGACCGCCUGAUGCACCUGUCUCAGAUCCUGCACAAAAAGUGCAGCGAGUGUAGCAUGAGUACGUAAAUAAUGUAUAUACAAUAAGUAUCAAGUCUAAUCUUGAAGAAGUAGUGAUGAGAGAUCGACUUCGACACUCACUAUGGAUCAAUAAUAUUAAGAUAGAAAUAUUUAUAUAAACACUAUUUAAGUGAAUAACAAUAAAUUCCUUAACAAGCAGAAGCAAUUAAUUCUUUCACAAUUUAAUAAUUUCCAAUAAGUCAUUUAUCUUCACAAGUCGCCAUAAAAUGAAAUAGGACCAUGUAAUUGUUAUUAUUAAGCACGAUUUGUACCGAAGUAGUAUGACCCAAUCCAGAGUGAUGUCUACACUGCCAAGGGACGUGCGUCAUGACCCAUAGAUUCAUAUAUCUACUAUUGAGGCGUUCGACUCGCUCCACAUGAAGCGAAGGAUAUUUUAUAAUCAUUUGACUUAAACAUUAUAAAUGAUUUAUAUCCAAGGUAAUGCAAAUUCCAUUAACAACCUUUCAAAUUUCUCUAACAAGUUCUAAUAUAAUUUAGGUAUUUUAAUUUAACAAGUAUAGUGCAAAAUACCAAAUGGAUUAUGAAUUGGGUCGUAAAGCUACCCAAACAAUAGCAUAAUAGUAGCUACACACGGACUCUCAUCACCUCGUACGUACGUAUCCCCCACAAUAAAAAACAAAUAUUUAUUUACAUAGCUAUGGGGUAAAUUCCCUCUUACAAGGUUAGACAAGAGACUUACUUCAUCUCAAAGUUCACUUUCUGAUCACAAUAUUUCAUUAAAGUCUCAAUUUGGCGCCGAAAAAUCCGAAACUAACCAAAUGUUAUAUAAUUUAAUCAAUACAUGCUCAAUAAUUCGAAUUAGAUUAUUAGAUUAAUCACCGAACCCAAAUUGGUAAAAUUCCUAAACUUCACCCCAGGCCCAUGUUCCCGGAUUUCGAAAACAUUUGGAGGAAGCCGUCAUCCAUAGCCUUAAAAACUUAUAUAUAUAAUUUUCAUCCCAUUCCAUAACUAUUUUGGUGGUCAAAAUCUCAUUUUUAUCAAAACCUAUGUUUUUCAUCUAAAUCCUUGAUUUCCACAAUUUACAUGUUAUAAUCUACACAUAAUCUAUGUAUUUAACACACAAUAGGUAGAAUUAACUUACAUCCAAGUUGAUAGGUAAAUACUCCUCUCAAGAAGCUCCAAAUUUUCCCAAGAAUGGAGAACACUGGGUUAAAAAUACUCAAACCCCAACUUAAAUGAAGGUUCUGCCUUCAGUGAGUUUUGCACAUGUAGAGCCUCAACCGCACCUGCGCAAAUCUCCCUGCAUGUGCGAGCUUCCCCCACCUGGACAGGCUCCAUACCAGCGGACCAAAGGACCACUUCUGAGCGUCCGCGGGUGCAACAAAUCCUUUACGUCUGCGACCACUCUGCUAAUGCGAUUGCUUGCUUCGCACCUGCGGGUUCAUAAGCACACCAAAACUUCCGCACUUGCGGAUGGUUGGGCUUCCCUCACUGGUUCACAUCUGUGGCUCAUGGCUCACACAUGCAACUGUCCAUGCGCAAGUGAGAUUGCAUCAGAAGCUAGAAGCUUAAGUUGUUUCUCCCAAGUCCAAACUUGGUCCGAGCUUCGUCCGGCUAACACCCGAGGCUCCCGGGGCCCCGCUCGAAUAUACCACCAAGUUUGAAAUCAUAAAACAGACUCCCUCGAACCCUCAGAAUAUGUAAUACAAAAUCAAAACUAAGAAUCAUACCUCAAACCAAAUUGAUUCAACUUAGAAAUUUCAAAUUCCUGAAACUUACUCUGAACGCACUGAAACAUACUUAAACUACUCGAAUUGACAUGAAAUUUUGCGUGCAAUUAUUAAAUCACCAUACGAGACUAUUCCCAAGCUCAAAAUUCCAAAUGGACCUCAAUUACUCCAAAAUCUAUGCCAAACCAUAUUUAAAACCCUCAAAGAGCUAACAUUCGCUAUUAGACAUUGAGACGCUCUCGAGUCAUCCAAAACAUGAUCUGAACAUACGCAUGAGUCCAAAAUCAUCAUACAAACCUAUUGGAACCAUCAAAUCUGGAUUCUAAGUUCGUUUACUCAAAACGUUGACCAAAGUCAAACUUGGCCUUUUAAAGACAAACUAAGGAACCAAGUGUUCUAAUUUCAACCCGAACCCUUCCAAUUCCUGAACUAACCAUCCCCGCAAGUCAUAAAACCAUAAAAGCACAUACAAGAAGUCUUAUUUAGGUGAACGGGGUUAUUGAAGGCAAAAUGACCUAUUGGGUCAUCACAUUCUCCACCUCUUAAAUAAAUGUUCAUCCUUAAAUGAGCUUUGAAUCAUACCUGUAGUACUGAAUAAAUGUGGAUAUAUGGACCUCCUCGGCCUCCUAAUUCACUUAAUCGACUGGUUAUCCCCCCAACUGAACUUUUACCGUAAAAAUCUUCUUGAACUUCAACUGGCAAACCUUCCUAUCAACAAUGACAACUGGUUCUUCUUUAUAACCCAAGAUCUCAUCUAGCUGAACUGUGUUGAAGUCUAACACAUGUGAAAGAUCAGCAUGAUAUCUCCGGAACAUAGAUACAUGAAAAAUCGGAUAAACUCUUGAUAGACUAGGAGGCAAAACAAGCUCGUAAGCAACCUCCCCAACUCGUCUCAACACCUCAAAUGGGCCUAUAAACCUUGGACUCAACUUUCCCUUCUUACUGAAUCUCAUGAUUCGCUUCAUCGGUGAAACCUUCAAGAGAAGUUUCUCACCCACCAUAAAUGAUAAAUCGCAUACUUUCUGAUCCGCGUAACUAUUUUGUCUAAACUGUGAGGUCGCUCCUGAAUCAACUUUACAUGGCCCAAGGCAUCCUUCACCAAAUCAGUAUAAUAUAACUUAGCCUCGUCGGGCUCAAACAUAUGAUGGGCGAACCACACCUCCGACCAUAUAAAUCCUCAAAUGGAUCCAUCUUGAUGUUGGAUUAAUAGCUAUUGUUAUAAGAAAACUUGGUCAAAGGAAAGAACAAUCCCACUGACCUCCGAAGUCAAUCACGCAUGCCCUGAGAAUAUCCUCCAAGAUCUGAAUAGUCUGCUCCAACUGCAUGUCAGUCUAUGGAUGAAAGGUUGUGCUAAGAUCUACACGGGUCCCCAAUUCACUCUGUACUACUCUUCAGAAAUGUGAAGUAAACUGAGGGCCUAUAUCUGAUAUGAUAUAAAUUGGUACAUCGUGCAACUGAACUAUAUCUUGAAUAUAAAUCUGGGCCAACCUCUCUAAAGUAUACGUAGUCACAACCGAAAUAAAGUGUGUUGACUUGGUGAACCAGUUGACAAUGACCCAAACUGUAUCAAACUUCUGCAACGUCCGCGGUAACCCAACUACGAAGUCCAUAGUAAUGCGUUCCCAUUUCCAUUCCGGUAUAGUCAUCUGCUGGAGUAGGCCACCUAGCCUCUAGUGCUUAUACUUAACCUACUGGAAAUUUAGACACCUAGAAACCAUGUCCUUCUUCAUCUGCGGCCACCAAUAAUUCUUCCUCAGAUCGUGAUACAUCGUCAGAGCUCCUAGAUGAAUAGAGUACCGAGAACUGUGUGCCUCAUCUAGGAUGUUUUCCCUCAAGCCAUCAACAUUAGGAACACAUAGGCGACCCUGGAGUCACAAAACACCAUAAUUCCUGAUAGUAACCUCCUUGGCAUGACCUCGUAGUAUCGUCUCCCGAAGAACCAACAAACGUGGAUCAUCAAACUGGUAAGCCUUAAUCUGCUCAAAGAGUGAAGACUGCACAACAACAUAUGCAAGAACUCAGCUGGCCUCUAAAAUAUCCAACCUCACAAGUAUGUUAUCCAAGGACUGAAUGUCCAAAGAUAAUGGUCUCUCCUCUGCUGCAAUGAAGGCCAAGCUACCCAUACUCUCCACCUUUUUUCUCAAAGCGUCUGAACUACAUUUGCCUUGUCGAGAAGAUAAAGGAUGGUAAUAUCAUAAUCUUUCAGUAACUCAAGCCAUCUACGCUGCCUCAAAUUUAAGUCUCAAUACUCGAACAAAUGUUGCAACAUGUGAUGUUCAGUGUAAACCUCACAAGACACCCCAUAAACAUAAUGCCUCCAAUUCUUAAGAGCGUGAACAAUUGCAGCCAACUCUAAAUCAUGUACCAUGUAAUUCUUCUUGUGGGGCUUCUGUUGACAUCAGUCAUAUGCAUUAACUCUCCCCUCCAACAUCAAUACAAAACCCAGGCCAAUGCGUGAAGCGACACAAUACACUGUAUACAUCCCAGAUAUGGAAGGCAAUAUCAACACCGGUGCUGAAGUUAAUGCGAUCUUGAGCUUCUAAAAACUCACCUCGCAAUCAUCAGACCAUCAAAAUGGAGUACCCUUCUAGGUCAAUCUGGUCAAAGUUGUUGUAAUAGACGAAAAGCCCUCCACAAACCUACAAUAAUAACUUGAUAACCCCAAAACACUCCUGAUCUUAAUCGCCAAAGUGGGACGAUGCCAAUUCUGAUAUGCCUCGAUCUUUUUGGGAUCAACUUUAAUACCAUCACCUGACAUGAUAUGUCCCAAGAAUGCUAUAGAGUUUAGCCAAAACUCAUACUUGGAGAACAUAACAUAUAGAUUUUGUUCGCACAAUAUCUGAAGAACCACUCUCAAAUGUUGCUCGUGCUUUUCGAUACUACGUGAGUAGAUCAAAAUAUCAUCAAUGAAGACAAUGACAAGAGAAUCAAUAUAUUGCCUUAACACCAUGUUCAUUAAAUUCAAAAACGUCGUCGGGGCAUUAGUCAAACCAAAGUACAUUACCAGAAACUCAUAAUGGACAUAUCUAGUCCGGAAAGUAGACUUCGGAACAUCUGAAUCCCGAAUCUUCAACUGAUGGUACCCCGAUCUCAAGUCAAUCUUAGAGAACACCCUAGAACCCUACAACUUGUCAAACAGAUCAUCAAUACGCAGAAGUGGGUACUUGUUCUUAAUGGUAGUUUUGUUCAAUUGGUGAUAAUCAAUACAUGGCCGCAUAGUCCCAUCCUUCUUCACAAAUAAUACUGGUGCGCCCCAAGGCGACACACUUGUCCUGACGAACCCCUUUGCUAACAACUCCUCAAGUUGUUCCUUCAACUCCUUGAACUAUUUUGGAGCUAUACAGUAUGGUGGGAUAGAUAUAGGAUGGGUAUCUGGAGACAUGUCAAUACAAAAAUCAAUAUCACGAUCUAGUGGCAUGCCUCGAAGAUCUGAAGGAAAUACAUCGGAGAACUCCCGGACUACAAGCACUCGCCAUAGUCUCUACAAUAGUAUCCCGAACAUUGUCUAGAUAAGCGAAACAACCUUUCUCGACCAUGUGUAAAGCAUUUAGAAAGUAAAUAACCUGAUUUGAUGCACUGAUAGACAAACCCUUCCACUGCAACCUAGGCAACUCCAGAAUCGCCAAGGUAAGUGUCUUGGCAUCGUAAUCUAGGAUGGCAUGAUAUGGAGAUAACCAUUUGAUGCCCAGGAUGAUCUCGAAGUCAGUCAUCUGAAGUAGCAGAAGAUCUGCUCUAGUUUUAAAACCAUAAAAUAUAACUUUGAGAGACCGGUAGAUCCGAUCCACAAUAAUAAAAUCGCCCAUAUGAGUGGACGCAUAAAUAGUAGUACCCAAGGACUCACUAGAAACACCAAGGAAAUGAGCAAAUAAGGAUGACACAUAGGAAUAUGUAGACCUUGGAUCAAAUAAUACUGAGACACAUUUGCCGCAGAUAGAAAUAAUGCAUGUAAUAAUGGCAUCUGAGGCCUCUACAUCUGGUCUGGCUGAAAAAGCAUAAAACUUUGCUAGAGCGCCACCUGACUGGCCUCCACCUCUAGGAUGGACCCUACCCACCUGACAUCCUCAUUUCGGUGGCCAGACAAUUGGUGGAGCAACUGGUGCUGUAAUCAUAAGCUGAUGACCCUGCUGCAUCAGCCUACCCUAAAGUCUAGGGCAGAACCUCCAUAUAUGACUGAAAUCCUCUCACUCGAAACAACCCUUCGGUAUGGUAGACUACUAACUUGAAGUCUAUACCUGAUGACCUUAAUACCCACUGGAAGAACCUUGAAUAACUGGUGAGCUGUAAGAACUCUCUAUCAUAACACUAAAAUAAGGUCGCACUGGAACACCCCGAGGAGACGGUGGUGUGGGGUAUCGGGGCCUGCCAACUGACCUCUCAAGAAUAGACCUUUACCCCCAGUUGGGGCACCUCUGAACUUUAAAGAAUAUUGAAAUUUCUUAUUUCUCGUAGCCUACUCUCAGCUAUGCUAACACACAUACUCAAUUUUAUGGUCCAUCUCCACAACCAGCUUAUAAAAAGUCCCUAUCUCAACCUCUCGGGCCACAGUGUCCUGAAUACCAGUGUGAAAACACGCAACAAACCUUUUCACUCUCUCUGCAUCAGUAGGAAGUUUCAUAAGUGCAUGGUGUGACAACUCAAAGAACCUCGCCUCACAAUCAGUCACGAACAUCUGACCCUGUUGGAGCUUCUCAAACUGAAGCCGCAACUCUUCCCUUUAGGGGGGUGGAAUAUCCCUAUCCACGAAAAAAUGGGUGAACUUGUCCCAAGUCAUGGGGGAGAAUUUGCUGGUCUACCAAGAAAAUAGGACUACCACCAUCUACGGGUCCUACCUUCUAGCAAAAAUUUAGCAAAGUCUACCCCAUAAGACUUCAAUAUCCUCAUAUUGUGCAGUCUGUCCCUACACCGAUCAAUGAAGUCCUGGAGUUCCUCAUGUCACUCGUCCCUAAAGAUAGGAUGAUAUAGCCCAUUCUAUCUAUAGAAUAGCUUCUGCGGAUCACUAGCCGUAGCUAGUCUGGGUCAGGUGUAACUGCUACCACUGGCUAGGCUCCGCCAUGAGUAGUGCACCCUAGGUCUGAUAUACUGCAGUUGCAUGCCCAUGAGCCUGCAUGGUAGGGGUUUGUGCUCCCCCUCCCGCCUAAGAUGUUGUUGGGUCUGCGGGAAAUAAACUGGCCUAAGUCAUAGUAUCAAUGAAAUGCAGCAUAUGGCCGACGACCACCAAAAAUCUCGGUGCGGGUGUGAAAUCCACCGAAGCUGGAUCUGCUACAGGCACCUCACCCUGAUCCUUAAUAAUAGGAUGCUCUACUAGACCCACUAGUUGUCACGACCUGACUGAUAGUUUUGAGAGUUAUAGACCUAUUUCCUCCAUUCCUGCUUCUUUUGUGUUUUACGGCUGUAUUUUAUCAUGAGGUUGGUUGGUUCAGGUCGGAGGUGGUUUCGGAUAAUUGGCUUAUGUGUAAAUGGUCUUGGAUUAUAAUUUUCAUGAUUCUGUUAGCUCCGUUAGGUGAUUUUAGGCUUAGAAGCACGUCCGAAAUAUGAUUUAGAGGUCCGUAGUGGAAUUAGGCUUGAAAUGGCGAAAGUUGGAAAUAUGGAAAUUUUGGUCGGUAGUGGAAAAUUUAUAUCGGGGUCAGAACGGAUUUACAGAAGUUCGGAUAGGUUCAUGGUGUCAUUUUUGACGUGUGUGUAAAAUUUGGGGUCGUUCGGACAUGGUUUGGUAGGUUUCGGUGUCAUUUGCGGAAUUUGGAAGUUUAGAAGUUCUUAGGCUUGAAUCCGAGGGUAAUUUGAUAUUUUUAUGUUGUUUUGAGUUAUUCGAAGGUUUGAUCAUGCUUGUAUAGGGUUAUAUGACUUGUUGUCAUGUUUGGUUGAGGUCCCGAGGGCUUCGGGUAGUUAUCGGAUCAAGUUGAAUUUUGGAGAAUGGGCUGAAGUUGGUUGUUGCUAGUGUAAUCACACCUGCAAGGAUAUUGCCGCAAGUACGGUAGGUUAGGCAUGGGUGUGGGAGUGUGUUGGACUUGGAGUACCUCAGGUGCGAUUAGGUGUGCGCAUCUGCGAGCCAUUGGUGACGGCAGAAGCGGAAAUGAGGAGGUCAAGCAGUGGCCGCAGGUGCGAGGUAUUUUCUGCACUUGCAAGGUCACAUAUGCAGAUAUGGAUCGCAGGUGCAAAGUUAGGGUUUUAGUGAUUUUCCACAGGUGCGGAGGUUUUUACGCAAAUGCGGUUGCAGGUGCGAAAGACCUGGGCAGAAACUAUAAAUAUAACACUUCGCGAAUAUUGGUUCAUUACCACCAUUAUCAAGUCGGUUCUUGGAGCUUUUAGAGUUAUUUUGAUAGGGAUUCAAGGGUUUCUCAGUGAGGUAAGUUGCUUAAACUCUAACUACUCCUAACUAUGGUGUUUUCCCGUUGUUUAUUAUCUAAUUCGUUGAAUUUAGGGGUGAAAAUAGGAGAUAGGGCUUGGGAUUUUGGAGAGUUUAAUUUGAAGAUUUGAGGAACCAAAUGAUGGCGGAUUUUGAUAAAUUUCAUAUGUAUGGACUCAUGAGUGAAUGGGCUUUCAAGUUUUUAAACUUUCAUUGGAUUUUGAGGCGUGGGCCCCGGUGGCCGGGCUUGAACCAAUUUCGGGGUUUUGAGUCUAAUUUGGUAGUUUUUCUUGUAGAAUUCAUUCCUUGAGUGUAUAUUGAUGGUAUUGUACUACUUCUGAAUAGAUUCGGAGCAUUUGGAGGCCGAAUCAAAGGCCAAAAGUAUCACGAAGUAGAGAUUUACUCGAUUUGAGGUAAGUAACAGUUGUAAGUCUAGUCCUGAGGGUAUGAAACAUGUGACUAUUUGGAGGUGACACACAUGCUAGGUGACAGGCGUAUGGGCGUGCACCAUUGGGGAUUGUGACUUGGUCCGUCCUAUAGCAACUGUAAAGUUGAAUAUUCUAUUGAAACUAUAUGUUUCUUAUGCGUUUUAGAAAGAAUGACUAUAAAUCAUGAUGGAUGCCAUGUCUAGGCCUUAUCCAGUAUUGUUUGGACCCUUAGAGGUCUUUUCUUGUUGUCCUCUCAAUGUUUUGAUUGAAAACAUGUACUCAAUCUUAGGUUCUUAUGUUCAUUAGAUAUGAAGUUGUUUUGUCAACCGGAAUCAUUGAUUCAUGUUAUCCCUCUUGCCGUUGAAUUGUACUUUUGUGGAAUUAUUGUUAUACAUUAUUUGUUCUUUGUUGAGCUAUUAUUAUAUUGUACCAUUAUUUCCUGUUGUGUCUUUCUUCGUGAGUUCGUACUUCCGUUUCUUUUGUACUCUGAAGUUACGGAGUUGAUUUACUUGUCAUAUUCUCGUGUUAUUGUCAUUGUUGUUGUUGUAUUUAUUUUUGUUGAGCCGAGGGCUAUGUGUGGUUGUGAUAUUGAAACUGUUAUGAGGAAAUAUUGUGGCAUGUGGGCACAUAUUGUGAAAGUGAUUUAUUUGAGUUUUUAUAUUUUGGCAUACAUAUUUUGUUAAGAGAAUUUUUAUGUUGUUUGCAUGAGGUUUCUGUCGUGCGUUGUCAUUGUGUUGGCAUGAUGUUUCUAUUGCGCGGUUGUUAUUGUGUUGCACGAGGUUUUUUCCUUGAUAUUGUUAUUAUUGAUACUCAUGCGAUGGUAUAAGGAGGGCUUGAAACGUGUGGCACGUAGGGGAACUACUAGAAGCCAUGUAGUGUGAUAAGGUAGGCUAAAAUGCGGGAUGUUAUUUCUGAAAAAAUAUUUAUCACAAAACUAAACAUAAAGUCUCCCGCGGUGAUAUAAAGAAAUGUUAUGAUUCAUUUUAUGAUUAGAGACUACGAGGCGGUACCUCUGUAGGGCUCUUGUUAUCAUUUCCCCAUUCUUUUGUACUUGUCUUUGGUUGUGGUAUUCCUCAGCAUAUUUUUAAUUGUCUUCCUCUGUGUUGCAAUGUUUUCUUAGUUCUAUGUAGCAUAUCUUAUUGUGCUUGUCAUUGCGUCCACUUCAUUGCGGUUUUAUUUACACUGUACAUUUCGUGGUGAUCGUUUCUUAUGUUCCAUACAUUGUCUUUACUCUUAAUUGUUGACUUGAAUUGUGGUAGAGCACUUGCAGAAGCAAACACAUAGAUGAAUCACCCAUAUCGGUUUAAAAAGAUGAAUCUUGACGUUAUUUUCCAUUACAUGUACUCUUGUCUACUUGCCUUUUGUGUGAGAGUUGUUCUUUUGGCACGUGAGUCAUCCAUGCGGUUAUGAAUUGUAAUGUGAGCACAAGAUGCCAAGUGAUUAGGGUUCAAGAAUUGGGAUUCGUGAGAUGUGGUUAUGAGGUUCGGUACCUCGUGGAAAUGCUUGAACAAAUCUGGUGUGAAAGUGGUUGUUCUUAUUGAGUUAUUGCUGGUUUUCUUUUAUUUUGGUUUCAACAGACUUAGAUUGUGUCCAUCUUAUUCUAUAGCAUUAUUACCUGACUGCUUCAUGUUAAAUAGUGUUGUUAUUAGUGCCUCGUUGCAAGUAUCAUUUUGUAUUCCUUAUCCUACUUAGUUGUGUAUUAAUAUUGUUUCUAUGUUAGUUCACAUGCACACUUGUUCAGGUUGUUUAGUCCGGUAGGUGUCUCGACUGUCCCUCGUCACUAUCCACCAAGGUUAGUAUUGAUACUUACUAGGUACCAUUGUGGUGUACUCAAACUAUGCUUCUGCACCUUUUUGUGCAGACCUAGGUGUCACGGUUAUUGUUGAUUAUUAGCUAGUUGAUCGAGCACUACUGCGAAUACUCAAGGUAAACCUAUCAUCAGUUUUGCAGGCCUCGGAGUCAUCUUCUGAUUUUGUAUUUGUACUAUUAUAUUUCCAUUUCGAACAAUUGUAUUUAAGGAUUUUCUUAGUGCACUUAGUAGAGCUUAUGACUUGUACUACCGAUUUUGGGAAGUGUAAGUUGUGUAUAAAGAUUUUUAUCUCAUAUUUUCAUUUAAUGGUUGAAUUCUUCUAUGAAUUCAGUAAAUGUUAGGCUUACCUAGUCUUAGAGACCAGGUGCCAUCACGACAUCCUAUAAAGGAAAAUUUGGGUUGUGACAAGUUGGUAUCAAAGCUCUAGGUUCAUAGGUGCUACAAGUAAUAAGAGAGUUUAGUAGAGACUUGCAGAUUAGUACAGAGACAUUUGUACUUAUCUUCGAGAGGCUACAAAACUAUUAGGAUAGUUUCACUUCCUUCAUUCCUAUCGUGCGGGUUUAUUGAUCUCGAAGUUCGAACCAUUGCCAUUCUACUCUCUCACCGAUGGUGAGGACAUGAGCUGCAACUACCGAUGAUGCUUCCUUCAGAGCUGGCAUUGCUGGGGACUAGGGUAGAGGUAAAGGCCAAGGCCGAGGAGGAUCACGUGCUACAGUUAGAGCACCUGUUAGAGCAGCAGCUGAGGAUCCACUAGUAGCUACGGUUAGGGGGCAUGUACUAGAGGCGCCUAUUGUUACCCCAGGACAUUAGGAGACUUUAGCACAGUUCCUGAGUAUGUUUGGUACAUUGGCUCAGAUGGGGUUUAUUUCGGUUGCACAAGCUACUUCAUAGAGCGAGGGGGGGCUUAGACUCCCACCGCCCGUACUCUAGAGCAGCAAGUCCAUCUUUGGUCAGUUUCCAGGUGUCAUGCCGACAUAGCCUGUUGUCAAAUUUAGCUCGUGGUUAGGGCAACAGCAUAUGAGAAAGAACAUCUUAGAGACUUGAGAGGUUCAAGAAGUAUUACCCUCCUAUUUUCAGUGAAUUGUUUAGGCAUAUGCCUACUUUGGUUUAUAUUGUUAGAGAGAGAGAGUCUGUAGGUUCAUUGUGGGGCUCAUUCAUGAUAUCCGAUUCAACAUAGCUUGGGAGUUCGAGUCAGAUGUUCUAUUUUAGCAGGUGGUAGAGAUCACCCGCUAACUAGAGGGCAUGUGGGACUAGGAGGUACAGGUCAUGCGGGGUCUGGAAAAAGAGGAUAGGGAGGCUAAGAGGACUCGUAGACCAGAGAGGUCAACUGGUCCCUAUUUUGGAGGCAGCGUACGACAUGGUAGAGGUUUUGUAGGUCAUCCAAUUCAGUUUGCACUUCAGGCUUCGCACAGUGUUUCAAGUACCCAUGGGUCUCAGGGUACUCGUACCGGACAACUUCCAGAAGCCACAUCAGCGUAGAGGUUGCUUGAGUGUGGAAGUACCAGCCACAUGGUAAGAGAUUGUCCUAUACUCUGGAUGGAUGUGUCAUAACAGAGUAAUCACGCUAUGCGUUCUGCUUUAGUUUUAGGUGCAGGUUAGGCGAGAAGAGGGUUUCCAAAAAGGGGAGGCCCGACCCAUUAAUGUACUUUCUACAGUAGGGCUGAGGACGUUGUGCCAGAUGAUCAUGUACAAGUAUGGUUUCAAUUUGUUAUAGAUGAGUGUCGUUCACAUUUUGUUUCGGUUCUUCUUAUCAGGGUGAGUCCUCCUAUUUUACUUCACAUAUGGGUGAGUUUCGUGAUUUUGUACUAUAUUUGUGUGUGUACCCUUGUUUGGAAAUUCUAUAGUGGCAUCACAUGUCUAUCGUUCUAUUUUUAUUUAUUAUUGACAGUUAUGAGACUAUAAGUGACUUCCUUUUACCCAUUACAAUAGGUUUUGAUGUGAUUUCUGAGUGAUUGAUUAUGAUAUGCGAUUUAGAUGCUCUACCAGUGUGGGAGUUCAAUAUAUGUUGUGAUUUUGUCAGUGAAAUUGAAUUAGUGGAAGGUUUUAGUUGGUAUUAUGUGUAUUCCACUUGUGAUUCAGAGUUAAGGGUGAGACCCUCGCAAUUUCAUGUGAUAUGAUGUGUUUGAACUAGGAUGCAUGCCGCGGUGGAAGUCAUAUCAAGAUGAUAUCCUUGUGAUUAGUUCAUAUGUUUUGAUUAUCCCUUGUGAAAUUAGUUCGUAGUAUGGUAUUGAUAGGGAGUUGUGUCGCUCGAUCUUGUAUGAUAGUUCCUUCAUGUGUUGCCUUGUAUAUUCGGUCUUAUUCGUGGUAUGUUUAUUGAGUUUUAUCUUGCGAUAAGUGUUCCUAGGUGUUGUUAUAUGUGACUUGUCGAUUCAGUUGAAUAGUUAUGAGGACUUCAUGUUUCGAGUAUCGUUGUCGGUGUUGUGAAGGCUUGGAACGGGGUUCUAACAGAUAUGAGGUUAAUUGAUGAUACUGAAUUUGAUUAAGAGUAGCUAUUGUGAUCAGAGAUGUGGUCAUGUGCAUAUAUGUGAUGUGUUACGUCGUGUAGUUGUACCUUGUGGGUGUAGGCAUAAGUUGUUGCAGCUGGUUGAGGUUGGUAUCGUAUGUUGAUGUAGGAAUCAGCCUUUUGGAAGAAAACAGAUGGUGGGAAGUUCUAAGGACUAUCAGUAUGGCUGGAAGGAAUAAUCUUCAGUUGAGAUAGUGUCGUUGGGACUAUGUGCAUUGGGUUGACAUGGGAUCACCCCGCGAGUGCAUUUAUGGUAGUUCACUUAGUGAUUUGAAGACUUCGGAAUAGUUCUUGGCAUGUUCAAGGACGAACAUUGGUUUAAGAGGAGGAGGAUGUAAUGACCCGACCGGUCAUUUUGAGACUUUGCAUCCCAUUCGGUGGCUUAAGGUCUAGAGCAACUUUGUAUUGUAUAUUAUGGCUUGUGUGUGCGUGUGCGUUCAAGUUCAGGUUUCGGAUGAUUUGGGGUCAAUUUGGAAGAAGGAUUUUUGUUUUAGAAGCUUAAGCGGUACGAGUUGACUGGAGUUUUGACUUUUGGGUAUACGACUUUGAAAUGAUAUUUUGAUGAUUCAAAUAGUUUCGUAUGGUGAUUAUGGACUUAGGCGUGCGUCCAGAUUUGGAUUUGGAGGUCCGUAGGGUAAUUUGAAGCAUUUCGGCAAAAAUUGGAAAGUUGAAGUUUUUGAAGGUUGAGAGGUUUGACCGAGAGUUGACUUUUGUGAUAUCGGGAUCGGAAUUUUAUUCCGAGAGUUAGAUUAGCUCCUUUAUGUCAUUUGGGACUUGCAUGCAAAAUUUGACGUCAUUCCGAGUUGAUUUAACAUGUUUCAGCAUGAGUUUUGAAAGUUGGAAGAUUUGAAAGUUCAUAAGUUCGAUUCAUGGUUUCAACAUUGUUUGAUGUGAUUUAAGAUCCCGAGCGGAUAUGCGUUAUGUUAUGGAACUUGUUGGAAUGCUUCGAUGGGGUCCUAGGGGCCUCGGGUGCGUUUCGGAUGGGCCACAAGCCAUUUUCUUAUGUUUUGGAAUGCUAACGUUCUGGUGUCUGAUAACCUUUUUCGUGAUCGCGUAGUGUAAGCCGCGAUCGCGUAGUAUAUUUGUUGACUUGCCAUAUUUUCCUCUUCGCGUUCGCAUGGAUCAGUCCACGAUCGUGUAUGUGUGGCUUCUAUGGAUCAGUCCACGAACUUGUUGGAAUGUUUCGACGAGAUCCCAGGGGCCUCGGGUGCAUUUUGGAUGGGCCACGAGCCAUUUUCUUAUGUUUUGGAAUGCUGAAGUUUCGGGGUCUAGUAACCUUCUUUGUGAUAGUGUUAGUCGCGAUCGCGUAGUAUAUUUUUUGACUUUCCAUAUUUUCCUCUUUGCAUUCGCAUGGAUCAGUCCACGAUUGCAUACGUGUGGCUUUUACUUCUUCGCGUUCGCAUCCCCAUGUCCGCGUUCGCAUAGAGCUUCUGGUGGGGGCACUGUGAUGUCUUCUAUGCGAUCACAUUCUUAUUCUCACAAUCACGUAGUGUAUUUUUCUGGGCAGUGUAGUUUCUUAUACCGUAUCUCAUAUUUCUUGCGCGAUCGCGAUGUGCAAAUACCUGGGCAAGAGAAUAUAUUUUUCAAAUCAAGGGUUUGGCCAUUUUUACCAUAUCUUGAGUUGUAGACCUUGGUUUUGAGCGAUGUUUCAUGGGUUUUUCAAGAAAAUUAUUGGGGUAAGUGUUCUUCACCCAUAAUUUAUUAUAUUCCAUGAUCCCAUUUUUAUAUUUAUCUUAUAAUUAGUGUUUUGAGUUGAGAAAAAAAUGGGAAUUUUUGAAGAAAUCGUUCAAAAUAUAAAAUGAGGAUUGAAGGACGAAUUGAUGUCGGAAAUAAAUAAUUUUGGUAUGGUUGAACUUGUAUUGAGAUGUGUGUUACGGUUUGUGAAUUUUAUCAUGUUCCGAGGGGCGAGCCCGGGGAUUGACUUUUUAGUUGUAAUUAAAGAUUGAAUCUUUAUUCUCCGUAAUUGUUUCCUAUGAGUUUUUUAUGAUUUAAAGUUAUUUUGGCUAGAUUUGAGCCGUCCGGAGGUCGUUUCACUCGAGAAGGCCAUUUUAGAGAAUCGGUCUAGCUUCUUUGAGGUAAAUAUCUUACCCAAAUUUGUGUGGGGGAAUUAUCCCUUAGGAUUUGAGUCUAAAGUACUAAUUGUGUCAUGUGAAGAUCGUGUACGCGAGGUGACGAGUACGUGCUCGGGCUUAUUUUUGGAAAUUUGACCGUUUAGGGCUCUUAGGUUCUUAUGUUCAUUAUAUAUGAAGUUGUUUUGUCAUAUUAAAUCCCAUAUUAACUAGUUUCACCUCUACGUGUCUUAAUUGGAAUUAAUUGCUUCAUGUUCCACCCUUACUGCCUAUUUAACUCUUACGUGCCUUAACUGAAGUUGUUGCCUCUUCUAUUGCCAUGCUAUCCCUCCCUACUUGCUUAUCCUUAAUUGAAGUUGUUAUUAUCUUCUCUGUAAUUUGUCUAUCCUUAAUUGAAGUUAUUAUUAUCUUUUAUGUAACUUGUCUAUCCUUAAUUGAAGUUAUUAUUUUUUUUCUAAAAUUACUUAUUCGUAAUUGCAUUUGUUGUAUCUCUUCCGAAAUUGCUCAACCAUAAAUGACGAUUUGUUUGUCCCUUAUCAUUGUUGACUUAUCCGUCACCGGAAUCAUUGAUUCAUGUUAUCCCUCUUACCGUUGAAUUGUACUUUGGUGGAAUCAUUGCUACACAUUAUCUCUUCUUUGUUGAGAUAUUAUUAUGUUGUACCAUUAUUUCAUGUUGUGUUUUUAUUUGUGAGUUUGUUCUUCUAUUUCUUUUGUAUUAUGAAGUUACUGAGUUGAUUUACUUGCUGCAUUAUCGUGUUAUUGUCACGACCCAAACCCACAACCUGUCGUGAUGGCGCCUAUCGAUGCUACUAGGCCAGCCGACAUUCAAAGUACUUCGAUAUUUCAUUAAAAGAUAAACCAAAAGCCUUUUCAAAUAGGAUUCUCAUAAAAACAAGAGUUAAACUCAAAAUAAAAAUACGAAAAGGUAGCCCCAAAUAUUGGGGUGUCACUAAGUCAUGAGUGUUUAAACAUAACCGGUCCAAAAAUAAUAUGACAAACAUAGUAUGUAAUCCAAAAUACAACUAAAUGAAAGAUAGGGAAGAAGAAAGCAACGUUGCGAACGUCAGGCAGCUACCUCGCUAUCUUUAAUAAUCAACUACGAGGACUAUCAGCACCCUCCACGACCAACUACUCCUGGAUCUGCACACGAGGCGCAAGGAGUAAUGUGAGUAUACCAACUCAGUAAGUAACAGAAAUAAAUAUGGAACUAAGAAGCAGUGACGAGCUAUGCAAAUACAGUUCAUUUCAUAAAACUUCAGUAAAGAAUAGGCAUGUUUUCAAUCCAUAGGUUUAAGUCAGGUUCAAGUAAAGUUAGAUAAAAUAUCUUCCAACAGUUCUCAAACAAGGAUGUAAGGCAACUGUAUGCAUCAAAUAAUGAAAUCAUAUACUACCUCUCAGGCAAUUAUCACAUAGUCCUCCCAGUCACUUCAACCUCACAGUCUCUCAUUACUCUCAAUCGCUCAGCACUCGAAACUCGCACUCAGUAGGUAUCUGCGCUCACUAGUGUGUGUACAGACUCCGGAGGGGCUCCUUCAGCCCAAGCACUAUAUCAAUGUCAAUCAUGGCAGAAUCAAUGAAACAUGAUGCGGCGUGCAGACCAAUCCCAUUAAUAUCCUUACAAUCAGGUCAUUGGCUUCACUCAAUCAUCAAUCUCUCCAGUCUCUCAGGCCUUCAAAAAUCAGGAAAAUUCAGCCUUAUAGUAAUAAUAUGAUGCAUCAAAUGGAAUAACAGAGACGGAGAUAUAAUAUGCGAGUAAAAACUGCGACUGAGUACAAAUAAUAUUUAGCAGGAAAUUCAACAUGUAAAGCGACCUCAAUGGGACCCAACAAUACCAACACAUAGUCUAAACAUGGUUUCUAACAUGAUUUACAGUCAAUUUCUAUAACACAUAGAGAGCAUAUAGCUAACAGGAAAUUGUAUAACUUUACAAUUUCCACGGGACGAACCAAGUCACAAUCCCCUCGGUGUAUGCCCACACGCCCAUCACCUAACAUGUGCGUCACCUCCAAAUAAUCAUAUGGCAACAAGAUCCGGGGUUUUAUACCCUCAGUUCCAGAUCUACAAAUGUUACUUACCUCAAUCUGAGCAAAUCUCUACUCUGGAAUGCCCUUGCCUUCCGAAUCGGUCUCCAAAUGUCCCGAAUCUAGCCACAAACAGUACACUACCAUUAAUAUAUGCUAAAGGGAUCAAUUUCACAAGAAAACUACUAAAUUAGACUCAAAAUUCGAAAUUGGCUCAAACCGACCCUUGGGCCCAUAUUUCGGAAUCCGACAAAAAUUACAAAACCCGAAAACACAUUCACUCACAAGUCUAACUAUAUCAAAAUUCGACCUCAAUUACCCCUCCAAAACCCCAAAGUUCACUCUCCAAUUUUCAAGCCCUAACCCCCAUUUUUCACCUUAAGACCUCACUAAUUAGGUGUAAAAAUUCAUGGAAAAAUAUCAUUGCCAAAUAUAAUUAGGCUCAAGGACUUACCUCAGUGAUAACCUCGAAUUCCCUUCGAAACUCUCCUCAAAAUCUCCAAAAGUCCGAGUUCAAAUAUGUGAAAAUGGGAAAAAAUCCUGAAGUCCUCUAUUUAUACUUUCUGUCGAGGAAAAUCGCACAUGCGGUCCCUUUUUCGCUUCUGUGACACCGCACCUACGGGAUUUCCUUUGCAGGUGCAUAUCUCACUUAAACUACCCGGUUCCGCAUCUUCUAUCAAACUCUCGCACCUGCAGACCUUGUCCGCUUCUGCGGUUCCUUCCCACUCAGGCCUUCUCCCCAUCUACGGCUCUAUCUCCGCACCUGCGUGCUCGCAGGUGCACUCAUCCCUCCACAUAUGCGCUUCCAGUCCAGCCCAUGAUUUCCCGCACCUACGACCUCUUCCUCUCUUCUGCGAGGCCGCACCUGCGGGCCUUCCAUCGCAGGUGCGAAAACACCAAAACAUCAGAAAAAUCUGCCAAGCCUAAGUCCAAAACUUCCUUCCGAUGAGCAUCCGAAACACCCCGAAGCCCCCGGGACCUCAACCAAACCUACCAACAAGUCAUAUAACCCCAUACUAACUUAGUCAAACCUUCAAAUCACUCAAACCAACAUCAAAACACCAAAUUACCCCCGGAUUCAAGCCUAAGAAUUUUUAAACUUCCAAAUUCUGCAUUGUUGUGGAGACUCAAGGUAAACCUAUCGUCGUGUUCCCAGGCCCUUCUGAUUUUGUAUUUGUACUGUUUGAUUUUCAUUCCAAACAUAUUUAUUUAAUAAUUUUCUUAGUGAACUCAGUAGAGUUUAUGACUUGUACUACCGGUUUUGGGAAGUGUAAGUUGUGUAUAAAGAUUUUUAUCUCAUAUUUUUCAUUUUAUGGUUGAAUUCUUCUAUGAAUUCAGUAAGUGUUAGGUUUACCUAGUCUUAGAUACUAGGUGCCGUGGCGACAUUCUACAGAUGGAAAUUAGAGUCGUGACACAUUUCACUAAAGGCUUUUGUGCUUUUAAUAUUGUAUUGAUAUAGAUAGAUUAUAGUACGAAACUUACUUUAACUAAAAAUUGGAAAACCUAUUUUUGACUAUAAAUCUUAUUUAAACAUGAAUUGAAUAAACUAUAAAAUACCACAACUUAAAAUUUUGGUUUUCUGCUACAACUUUAUUUAAUCUUCCAAUACUCCUACUAGUUUAACGGGAUUUAAUUGUGAAGAAAGUCUUUCUUUCUGGAAGAUUGCUUGACUUUCAAACUACAACUUUAUUAGCUUUCAUGCGCGAAGGUACACUUUAAGACAUGCUUUGCCCCUGCGAGGCUUUGUAAAUAUCCACCAAAACAGGGACAGAGGUAGAACUUGAAAUAUUGUGCGGACUUUUUUAGGAUCAUGGUUUAAAUUUUGAUCCCGGUUAAAAAAUUCUUGAGAAAAUAGCUCCGACUAGGAAUUUAAUUAAGAAGCAUUCCUCGCAAUCGCCAAAAAUUUUCUAUAUGAAAAAUUCUAUCGAUUAUUAUAUUUUGUGGCAAAAAAGCGGUGAAGAGAAUUUCAAACUAGGGAAAAGUGUAUAUCCUCGGCCACGUUGGGAUUGAUAAAAAAUAACUUACUGUAUUGAGCGUUUAUACUAAACAAUAUGUAAUUUACUAUGAUUAAUGAUAAAUUAAGGUGAAAAUAUUUUCAACAAACUAUAGUGUAAUGAUAAUCAUGUUGGCUUAACUUUCAGCAACUUGAGUUUAAUUAGUUGAAUCUUAUUUUCCAAUCAAUGAUAAACAGUGAAAAAUUUAAAACCGAGGUCUCUGGGAAAUUUUCGAUAUUUUAGCAACUCUCCGUAAGUUGCUAACAGGGACAAGAAUAUUUUCAAUUCUCAUCGAUUAAGCGUAUUGUGUCGGUUCGUUUGAGUAAUAUAUCGAAAAAUACCUUUUGAUACUUAUGUGGUGGUGGCAAAAUGGAUUAAAACAAAUAGUUUAUCAUUCAUAUUAUGGGUUGGAUAAUGAACUUUUAAAAAAUGGGUCAAAUAUGAAUAAGUUUUAUGUUAUCCAUUUAAAAAAUGGAUAAUCAAUAAGUUUAUCUUUUAAUUUGUAAGGACUCAAAUUAGUGCUUCUUCAAGAUUCGGAAACUAUUAAUUCUCUAAAAAAUAAUCAUAUUCAAGAAGUCAUUAAUACUAUGGAUAUCAAUAUUAUUCGUCGGUUAAUCAAUUUUCUAUCUGUAUUUAAUAUGAUUGGGAUCAGAUAAUUUGUUCAUUUUUAUAUUACUUAUUUAUCAACCGCCUAUAUCCAACCCGACCCAACCGUUUGUCAUCCUUAUACCUAUACCUAUGGAAAGCGAUUUUCUUUUCUUUCACAAUAAAGGAAAGGAAUUCACUGCAAAAACUAUACAAGGGUCUAAAUAAACUGAAAUCAACAAAACAUUUACACCAAAAUCAAGAUUCUCACAUGGACAAUAAUACCCUUCACCACACUCUAAAUUUACCAAAACUAAGUACUCUUUCCUUUUUUUAUAAUCGUAAUGUUCGUAUCAACUUGCACGCAUCUUAAUUAAUUCCACGGAAUAACUUCUCUCUCUUCAGCUUAAGAUUGCUGAAUUUCUUCGGCAAGAGAGAGAGCUACCACCAAAAGAGAACAUUGAAGACAAAGAUUGAGCCAAACUCAAAACAAUGGCCACCUUCACUUGACCUCUUUUUGGAAUGGGUCGGCCAUAAACAAGCUUUCUUGACAAUUUUCUGCCAUUAUUUAUCAUCUCUUUAUUCUGAGCUCCUUUCAUUUUCUCUAACUACAGAAAUUCUUGAACACCAAACAAUGGAUUGACUGAUGCUUUAUGUUUGUGGCCCUUACUUUGCUAGUUGAGAUUCGAGAAAAAAUGACCCUUCUAUUUAUAUAGCUCAUAAGUUUGAAA